RNA transcript from Chrysoperla carnea, 2278 nucleotides. It is a transcript of the gene named dnaJ homolog subfamily C member 2, with no coding region annotated. Lineage: Eukaryota; Metazoa; Arthropoda; Insecta; Neuroptera; Chrysopidae. The record is from RefSeq and is a predicted model, not a curated record. The transcript has 3 exons.
UUAAUAAGUACUAAUAAUUAUGUUUAAAAUAAUCUUGUAAAAAAUUGAUCUAAUAAAUAUUUAUUUUAAUUGAAAGUUUUAAGGCAACUGAAUUUCUACGAUUAAAUUAUAUUAUUUUGUGAGUAACAUAAAUUAAAUAAAAAGCGGGUUUAAUAUUCUUAAGAAGAAGGUUAAGUGAGAUUUUUUAAAUGUUAUCCGGAUUUAAAAAAAAUUGAAAUGGGAAAGGAAAAUGUAAAAAAAGAAGUACUUUUAAAAAGUGCACCAAUUAUAGCAAAAAUAGAAUGUGUUGGAUAUCGUUUUUUUGAAUAUUUAAAAAAAACUGGUCGUUAUCAAAGUGACAAUUUAUCCGUUGACGAAAAUGAUUCGGAAGUUGAAUCAAGUGAAACAAAAUUUGAAGAUGAUAUCAAUUACUUGCGUAGUUUAGAUCCAAAAGAAUGGAAAGAUCAAGAUCAUUACGCGGUACUGGGUAUAAAAAGUUUGAGAUAUAAAGCAACUGAUGAUGACAUAAAGAAAGCAUAUCGACAAAAAGUAUUAAAACAUCAUCCGGAUAAAAGAAAGGCUCAAGGUGAAGAUGUACGAACGGAUGAUGAUUAUUACACAUGUAUAACGAAAGCUUAUGAAAUUUUGGGUACACCAAUGAAAAGACGUUCUUAUGAUUCAGUCGAUCCCACUUUUGAUGAUUCAUUACCAACAGCUGCAGAAUUAAAGAAAAACUUUUAUCAAGUGGCUAAUAAAUAUUUUGAAUCGAAUGCUAGAUGGUCUGAGAAAAAAAAAGUACCAAAAUUAGGCGAUGAGAACACAUCACGUGAAGAUGUUGAACGGUUUUAUUCGUUUUGGUAUAAUUUUGAUUCAUGGCGAGAGUUUUCAUAUCUCGAUGAAGAGGAAAAAGAGAAAGGUCAAGAUCGUGAAGAACGUCGUUGGAUUGAAAAACAAAAUAAAGUAGCACGCACAAAACGGAAAAAGGAAGAAAUGAGUCGAAUUCGUUCAUUAGUCGAUAUGGUAUAUAAUGCUGAUCCACGUAUCGAAAAGUUUAAGAAAGAUGAUAAAGAUCGUAAACUAGCAGCGAAACGUGCAAAACAAGAUGCUGUUCAAGCAAAACGCGAAGAAGAAGAGCGUAUUAUACGUGAAGCGCAAUUAGCAAAAGAGAAGGCGGAUGCGGCAGAACGAGCUAGAAUUGAAGCAAAACGACAAGAACGUGAAGCUCAAAAACGUGCAUUGAAAAAAGAACGAAAAAUUUUACGUGAUUUAUGUAAAAGUAAUAAUUAUUUCAGUACUGAUUCAGAAGAUACAAUCACACAUAUGACAAAUGUUGAAAAACUAUGUGAAAAUUUAAAAUUAGUUGAAUUAGAAGAAUUAAAUAAGAAUUUACGUGAUGGUGGCCGUUCUGUAUUCUUACAAAGUGUUCAACAAUUAGAAGAAAAAUCUGAAGCUGAACGAAAAUCUAUUGAAAAACAAUUAAAUCCAACAACCAUUCAACAACAACAACCAACAACCAAUACCAAACAUAGUAAUGGUUUAAAUUGGAAUAAUGACAAUGUUCAACUGUUAAUAAAAGCAGUAAAUGUAUUCCCAGCUGGUACCAAUCAACGAUGGGAAGUUGUUGCGAAUUUUAUAAAUCAACAUGGUAACACAACUGAUGGUAGUUUUACUGCUAAAGAUGUACUAGCAAAAGCAAAAGAUUUACAAAAAACAGAUUUCUCAAAGAAUCAUCUAAAAACUGAUAUUAAUAAACAAGCAUUCAAUAAUUUUGAAAAAAAUAAAAAGAAUGCUCGUGUUAUGGAUGAAGUAUCGAUUUCAGAAAAUCAUGUUACAACAAACGGACAUAAUAUUAUAAAUGAAAGCACCAAUCAAAAUCAAAAUCAAGUAGAAACAAAUAGUAAAACAAAUGAUAAAACUAAUGUAGCAGCAGGAGCAACAGCUAGUGCUGUAGCAUGGACACCUGAAGAACAAUUAUUAUUAGAGCAAGCAUUAAAAACUUAUCCAUCAAAUACAGCAGAACGUUGGGAUAGGAUAGCUGAAUGUAUUCCAAAUAGAACGAAAAAAGAUUGUAUGCGUAGAUAUAAAGAAUUAGUUGAUUUAAUUAAAGCGAAGAAAGCUGCUCAACAAGCUACAAUUAAAUAAAAUUAAUAAAUAAAUAAAUAAAUGUAAUGUAAUGUAAUGUCCCACUCAAGUAUUUGUAUUGUUAUUGUUAUCUGACUCAGGGGAUAAAGAUCGAUGAUGAUAUUAUACGGAGUGUCCAAAAAAAAAUUUAUACACACUUUGUGCAAAAAAAAAAAGU